GACCAUCCUCCAAGGCUAAAUACUCCUGACUGACCGAUAGUGAACCAGUACCGUGAGGGAAAGGCGAAAAGAACCCCGGCGAGGGGAGUGAAAAAGAACCUGAAACCGUGUACGUACAAGCAGUGGGAGCACGCUUAGGCGUGUGACUGCGUACCUUUUGUAUAAUGGGUCAGCGACUUAUAUUCUGUAGCAAGGUUAACCGAAUAGGGGAGCCGAAGGGAAACCGAGUCUUAACUGGGCGUUAAGUUGCAGGGUAUAGACCCGAAACCCGGUGAUCUAGCCAUGGGCAGGUUGAAGGUUGGGUAACACUAACUGGAGGACCGAACCGACUAAUGUUGAAAAAUUAGCGGAUGACUUGUGGCUGGGGGUGAAAGGCCAAUCAAACCGGGAGAUAGCUGGUUCUCCCCGAAAGCUAUUUAGGUAGCGCCUCGUGAAUUCAUCUCCGGGGGUAGAGCACUGUUUCGGCAAGGGGGUCAUCCCGACUUACCAACCCGAUGCAAACUGCGAAUACCGGAGAAUGUUAUCACGGGAGACACACGGCGGGUGCUAACGUCCGUCGUGAAGAGGGAAACAACCCAGACCGCCAGCUAAGGUCCCAAAGUCAUGGUUAAGUGGGAAACGAUGUGGGAAGGCCCAGACAGCCAGGAUGUUGGCUUAGAAGCAGCCAUCAUUUAAAGAAAGCGUAAUAGCUCACUGGUCGAGUCGGCCUGCGCGGAAGAUGUAACGGGGCUAAACCAUG
This 739-nucleotide ribosomal RNA is filed under the name Escherichia coli. RNAcentral's name for it is "partial 23S ribosomal RNA". It matches the Rfam family "Bacterial large subunit ribosomal RNA", at positions 451 to 1191 of the family's 2925-position model. Lineage: Bacteria; Pseudomonadati; Pseudomonadota; Gammaproteobacteria; Enterobacterales; Enterobacteriaceae. The record is from RNAcentral.